RNAcentral lists this ribosomal RNA (481 nucleotides) under uncultured bacterium. RNAcentral describes it as "partial 16S ribosomal RNA". It matches the Rfam family "Bacterial small subunit ribosomal RNA", at positions 28 to 523 of the family's 1533-position model. The record is from RNAcentral.
GACGAACGCUGGCGGCGUGCUUAACACAUGCAAGUCGAGCGAUGAAGUUUCUUCGGAAAUGGAUUAGCGGCGAACGGGUGAGGAACACGUGAAGAAUCUGCCCUCCACUUUGGGAUAACACAGGGAAACCUGUGCUAAUACCGAAUAUUGAAACAUAAGUGGCAUCACUGAGUUUUGAAAGAAUUUCGGUGGAGGAUGACUUCGCGGCCUAUCAGCUAGUUGGUGAGGUAAUGGCUCACCAAGGCAACGACGGGUAGCCGGCCUGAGAGGGCGGCCGGCCACACGGGGACUGAGACACGGCCCAGACUCCUACGGGAGGCAGCAGUGGGGAAUAUUGGGCAAUGGAGGAAACUCUGACCCAGCGACGCCGCGUGCGGGAUGAAGGCCUUCGGGUUGUAAACCGCUUUCAGUAGGGAAGAAGCGAAAGUGACGGUACCUACAAAAGAAGCACCGGCUAACUAUGUGCCAGCAGCCGCAGUAA